AGUUGGCAGCUGUAAUCAUCGCUGGCCUCCUCCUGCUCUACAUUCCACUGUGCUAUGAGAAUUUCCAUUUCCACGUGGCUCAUUUGUAUGCUCGCCUGGGGUACCCCAAUGCCCAGCACAUCCUGGGACAGAGGUAUUUACAAGGAACCGGAGUGGAAAAAAAUGAGGACAUGGCUAUGCACUGGUUCAGGCAGGCUGCGGGGCAGGGCCAUCCCCACUCCUCCUUCAACCUGGUGGUGGGGGCACUCAGAAACAUGACCAUGGCACUUGAAGAAGGGUAACAUGAGUUAAUCCUUUUCCUUCCCAUUACAGCUGCAUUCCCAGCUCCU
Molecule: long non-coding RNA, 329 nt
Filed under: Lepidothrix coronata (blue-crowned manakin)
Lineage: Eukaryota; Metazoa; Chordata; Aves; Passeriformes; Pipridae
Description: lncRNA (ENSLCOG00000001913.1)
Source: RNAcentral